UGGUGUGAUCAUACCAGCACUAAUGCAUCGGAUCCCAUCAGAACUUCCUAGUUAAACAUGUUUGGAAGAUAUGUAGUAAGUUUAUACAUACCAUGUCAGACCCGUUCCCGAAAACACCCG
Molecule: non-coding RNA, 120 nt
Organism: Cephalotus follicularis
Lineage: Eukaryota; Viridiplantae; Streptophyta; Magnoliopsida; Oxalidales; Cephalotaceae
Source: Rfam